Molecule: long non-coding RNA, 1206 nt
Organism: Cariama cristata (Red-legged seriema)
Lineage: Eukaryota; Metazoa; Chordata; Aves; Cariamiformes; Cariamidae
Exons: 3
Source: RefSeq, a predicted model, not a curated record
AGGAUUUGUUCUGGGAGGUGCGUUUGGUGUCUUCACAGCUGGCAUCGACACAAACGUUGGGUUUGACCCCAAGGAUCCAUAUCGCACACCAACUGCAAAAGAGGUCCUCAAAGAUAUGGGGCAGCGAGGUAUAUCCUAUGCAAAGAACUUCGCCAUUGUGGGCGCCAUGUUCUCCUGCACCGAAUGUGUAGUAGAAUCUUAUCGUGGGAAGUCAGACUGGAAGAAUAGUGUUAUUAGCGGCUGCAUUACAGGAGGAGCAAUCGGCUUCAGAGCUGGUUUGAAGGCAGGGGUUAUCGGCUGUGGUGGAUUUGCCGCUUUCUCUGCUGCAAUUGAUUAUUAUCUACGGUAACAGUGGAAUCCCUUGGGAGCAAGUUUCCCUUUUGUUCCAGUGCUGCUGCUAAGAGCCUGCAUCACGGCAGAAGAACCAUCAGGCUUACCUUUCCACUGCUUUUGGAGUCCUGAUCAGCGCGAGCUGGAUGGUGUUGGCCGCUUUUCCUGAAUGACUAACAAUAAUCUGGCUCUAAGCCCUGGCGUGCUGCUUCAGGCAGACUUGUGGGAGUAUGCAAGGAUGGAGCCAGGCGCAGUGAGCAGUAUCUCCAGGAUGGAUCAGCUGACUGUCAGUUUCCAGGAAACAAGCCUGGACUCUGAGUUUUUUUGAUCCUUUGGGUCUGAUUUUGAUUAAGUUUGUUGCUAGCAUCAAAAGAAGCAGGAGGACAAUCUUCAAAAGAAAUGCAGUGAUUUAGGUUACCGUAUAUUUGAAUGUGCUGCAAGUGUUUAACAGUUAGCAGUUUGCAGCUUGCCAUACUGUUGGGGAGAGGUAAGAUCCUGUGGAGAAGUAAGUUUGUUCCAGGCUUUUCUUAAAAUACCAGCUGAAGACAAACCACCAUCUGUACAACUUGUCUUAUUUCAAGUACAGAGCGAGCCAGAUUUCUUUACCAUGUCUUAAAGGGAAAAGCAAAAAGGAAUCCUUAGCCUUAGAACCAUGCGGUUACUGGCAGAUGAACAAAACCGUUUAAGGGGGGAAAAAAGAGGUUGUUGCAGAAGUAUAAUUCUCUGUAGCCACUUGGCUAGCCCGAUUUAACCUCGCUGUGGGAGUACAAAUAAUCUUGCUACUGCUUUAACUGCCACAGGCUCACACCAUUAGUUCCAGCAGUUUGAUAGUGAGACUAGAAAGCAGAGUUGUGAGAAUAAACUGCUGUUAGACAG